GAUGAACGCUGGCGGCGUGCUUAACACAUGCAAGUCGAACGGUGAAGGAGAGCUUGCUCUCCGGAUCAGUGGCGAACGGGUGAGUAACACGUGAGCAAUCUGCCCCUGACUCUGGGAUAAGCGCUGGAAACGGCGUCUAAUACCGGAUACGAGCUGCGAAGGCAUCUUCAGCAGCUGGAAAGAACUUCGGUCAGGGAUGAGCUCGCGGCCUAUCAGCUAGUUGGUGAGGUAAUGGCUCACCAAGGCGUCGACGGGUAGCCGGCCUGAGAGGGUGACCGGCCACACUGGGACUGAGACACGGCCCAGACUCCUACGGGAGGCAG
RNAcentral lists this ribosomal RNA (323 nucleotides) under uncultured Actinomycetes bacterium. RNAcentral's name for it is "bacterial SSU rRNA". It matches the Rfam family "Bacterial small subunit ribosomal RNA", at positions 28 to 351 of the family's 1533-position model. Lineage: Bacteria; Bacillati; Actinomycetota; Actinomycetes. The record is from RNAcentral.